This 949-nucleotide long non-coding RNA is filed under the name Nicotiana tabacum (common tobacco). Its description in RNAcentral is "long non-coding RNA (NTAB_LNC001997)". Lineage: Eukaryota; Viridiplantae; Streptophyta; Magnoliopsida; Solanales; Solanaceae. The record is from RNAcentral.
UAUGAAUCCCCUCCCAAGCAAAACGGCGCAUGGCUCCCUAUUUCUAGCUUCUUCUUCAUUUUUCUAAACUCAACAAUAAAAUCCCUCACUACCAAAAACCUAAGCGAUAGAGAGACCCUUCCCAUUUUCCUUUUCCUCUCAAUUUCACCUUCUACCAUCAUCGAACACCACAUACACACACACGAGAAAAUACACAAAAAUUCCGAAACUCAAUAAUAAAAAUCGGGUUCAGAUCUGAAAUACGGUGGUUUGUAAAAAGAAAGAAAGAACAGAUUAUAGAGUCUUUCAUAUUUCUGGGUUGCAAUAAUGUCCGCUUGAAGUUUUGUUGUUGUUGAUGCCGAAUUUCUACUGAGCUUCGGUUGGGUCCGUCUCGGCUUUUCUUUUUCUACUUUUGGUUCAGUUUAUUCAAGUAAUCUGUUAUUUCCAGGUAUUUCUCUUGAAAUUUGGAUUGCCAAUUGAAUAGGAAAUGUGUCUCUGAUGGAAGAUGUAUAUGAGUUGUGAAAUUAUUAGAAUUAGUCUUGUUCGGCUCUCAAUUUCUGUUCUCGAUCAAUGCUUUAGCAUUUUGGAUCACUAGUUUUCUUAUUCUAUUCUUAAAUUUCAUGGAAUGGGAGCACGAUUUAGAUACCAUUUUUGUGUGUGUUAUGUUGAAUCUGCCAUGGUCCCCUUCUGUAAUUUUUCUUAUCUCAUUUAUUUAAUUUGGAAUAUUCUAUAGUUGCUUAUUUCUUCACUCCACUCGCCUAUGUGUAUAAUUAUUGGUCAAAUGAGCAUUAGAUUGUACCUCAGUUUAUUUGUGGCUACUCAUGUUUUAGUUUUGACUCUAUACUCCUUAGUUUUCGCUUUUAAUUUGACUUCUAACCGCUAAAUAAAAUAUUCUUUGAUAUUAUCAGAUGUUUUAAAGAUGGGGUGAUAAUUGGAUUUGUACAAUUGAAAUAGCUGGCUUCAAAUACAU